UAGUCCACGCCGUAAACGAUGGUCACUAGCUGUUGGGUUUUCGGACUCAGUGGCUAAGCGAAAGUGAUAAGUGACCCACCUGGGGAGUACGUUCGCAAGAAUGAAACUCAAAGGAAUUGACGGGGGCCCGCACAAGCGGUGGAGCAUGUGGUUUAAUUCGAUGAUACGCGAGGAACCUUACCAGGGCUUAAAUGUAAGUUGCAUAGAUUGGAGACAGUCUUUUCUUCGGACUACUUACAAGGUGCUGCAUGGUUGUCGUCAGCUCGUGCCGUGAGGUGUCAGGUUAAGUCCUAUAACGAGCGGCAACCCCUGUUGUUAGUUGCCAGCGAGUCAAGUCGGGAACUCUAACAAGACUGCCAGUGCAAACUGUGAGGAAGGUGGGGAUGACGUCAAAUCAUCACGGCCCUUACGUCCUGGGCUACACACGUGCUACAAUGGUAGGUACAAUGAGCAGCCACUGCGUGAGCAGGAGCGAAUCUAUAAAACCCUAGUCACAGUUCGGAUCCGGG
This 509-nucleotide ribosomal RNA is filed under the name uncultured bacterium. RNAcentral's name for it is "bacterial SSU rRNA". It matches the Rfam family "Bacterial small subunit ribosomal RNA", at positions 791 to 1303 of the family's 1533-position model. The record is from RNAcentral.